UGGGGAAUCUUCCGCAAUGGACGAAAGUCUGACGGAGCAACGCCGCGUGAGUGAUGACGGCCUUCGGGUUGUAAAGCUCUGUUAAUCGGGACGAAUGGUUCUUGUGCGAAUAGUGCAAGGAUUUGACGGUACCGGAAUAGAAAGCCACGGCUAACUACGUGCCAGCAGCCGCGGUAAUACGUAGGUGGCAAGCGUUGUCCGGAAUUAUUGGGCGUAAAGCGCGCGCAGGCGGAUUGGUCAGUCUGUCUUAAAAGUUCGGGGCUUAACCCCGUGAUGGGAUGGAAGCUGCCAAUCUAGAGUAUCGGAGAGGAAAGUGGAAUUCCUAGUGGAGCGGUGAAAUGCGUAGAUAUUAGGAAGAACACCAGUGGCGAAGGCGACUUUCUGGACGAAAACUGACGCUGAGGCGCGAAAGCCAGGGGAGCGAACGGG
This 429-nucleotide ribosomal RNA is filed under the name bacterium. RNAcentral's name for it is "partial 16S ribosomal RNA". It matches the Rfam family "Bacterial small subunit ribosomal RNA", at positions 355 to 776 of the family's 1533-position model. The record is from RNAcentral.